RNAcentral lists this long non-coding RNA (998 nucleotides) under Mus musculus (house mouse). RNAcentral describes it as "long non-coding RNA chr8:83427549-83428547". The record is from RNAcentral. Lineage: Eukaryota; Metazoa; Chordata; Mammalia; Rodentia; Muridae.
ACUACCUUAUCAGCAGUAUUGCUGUAUUUAAAAUACUUUAUUGAAGAACUUUCUACUCUUAAGUACCAGGUGUCAACCCUUUGAAAGGCCAUUCAAGUCCACCUGAAGACCAGAGGAUGACUUUAGUACUGAGUCCCUAUGGAACUUCUUAUGAGUUGGGGUUUGUUUUGUAAAGAUGCACACCCCACCUUCUGACUCCCUCACAUAGGUACAUUCAGAACUCACACACUGAAAACAAACCCUAGCUUCACCUCCUUAAAGGGGGCUGAGCUGAGCUAAUGGCGUUGUUUGCAUCUUCCAUACUGGCAGAAGGGGAGGGAGUGCUUGCCCUGUGGCCAUGCACUGACGUUGAUAGACUCCUGGUGAACUUGUAACACAGCUAACCAUAACUAGAAUGUACUUAGCAAUAAUAGGGCUUAACAUAGCUUUCAAGGGCUCAUUUUUUUCCUUUGAAUUAGUCACUUGAACUAAUUAUAAAUAAAAAUGUAUCUCAAAAUAAAAAACUAUGCUUCAGAUAUUUAUACCUUGGUAUAAAUCAGGCUUGACCUGGGACUUGUGUUAAAGCUGUUUUAACUCUUGGCUGCAGAUUGACUCUGCAUGGACAUUUGACUAAACUCAGGAGCUUGCAGUGGUAAUGUCUGAGCAACCGAGUUUUAUUUUUAUAGUUUGUCAAUACAAGGGUUUACUCUGUAGCUCAAGCUGACUUGGAACUCCUAGAUAGCCCAGGCUGCACUUAGAUUGAUGCAAUCCUCCUCUAUCAACCCCUCAGUACUGGGACAGCAGGCGUGAGGAGCCAUGCAAACAUCACUACAAACUCCUGGCUGUGGAUGUGCCGUGGCUGACAGGUCACUAAACUAAAACCCUGUGGGGGACACAUGACAUCUAUGCAACUGAAAAGAGUUUUAGUGGCCAAGUGGUUUUUUUUCUUUAUUCUAGUCUGAUUUUAUUUUUUAUAAUUACUUGAAUUUAUCAUUUUCCCUAAUAAAAGAUAAAUAUAU